CCAUCGCCAGUUCGGCGCCGUACGACGACUUCCGACGUCGUUACGAGGAGGCUGUCCCGCCGUUCGACGCGGCCGCGUUCGGC
Molecule: transfer RNA, 83 nt
Filed under: Plantactinospora endophytica
Lineage: Bacteria; Bacillati; Actinomycetota; Actinomycetes; Micromonosporales; Micromonosporaceae
Description: tRNA-Arg
Source: RNAcentral